AAGGCCAAUGGCUUGCGAGGGUAGGAAAAGCUCAGUGUGAUGAUAUAUUUCUCGCUCACUGAUCUGCAGUUUUUCCCACUCCUCCCAAGCCCAUGGCC
Molecule: microRNA precursor, 98 nt
Filed under: Pinus densata
Lineage: Eukaryota; Viridiplantae; Streptophyta; Pinopsida; Pinales; Pinaceae
Description: miR482c stem-loop (pde-MIR482c)
Gene: pde-MIR482c
Source: miRBase by way of RNAcentral